UACAGAGGGUGCGAGCGUUGUUCGGAAUCAUUGGGCGUAAAGCGCUUGUAGGCGGCCUGUCAAGUCGCGUGUGAAAUCCCUUGGCUUAACCAAGGAAGUGCGCGCGAAACUGGCGGGCUUGAGUGCCGGAGAGGGUCGCGGAAUUCACGGUGUAGCAGUGAAAUGCGUAGAGAUCGUGAGGAAGACCAGUGGCGAAGGCGGGUCUCUGGACAGUUCCUGACACUGAGGCACGAAGGCCAGGGGAGCAAACGGG
This 253-nucleotide ribosomal RNA is filed under the name uncultured prokaryote. RNAcentral's name for it is "partial 16S ribosomal RNA". It matches the Rfam family "Bacterial small subunit ribosomal RNA", at positions 524 to 776 of the family's 1533-position model. The record is from RNAcentral.